RNAcentral lists this ribosomal RNA (253 nucleotides) under uncultured Legionella sp. RNAcentral's name for it is "partial 16S ribosomal RNA". It matches the Rfam family "Bacterial small subunit ribosomal RNA", at positions 524 to 776 of the family's 1533-position model. Lineage: Bacteria; Pseudomonadati; Pseudomonadota; Gammaproteobacteria; Legionellales; Legionellaceae. The record is from RNAcentral.
UACGGAGGGUGCAAGCGUUAAUCGGAAUUACUGGGCGUAAAGGGUGCGUAGGUGGUUGUAUAAGUUGUCUGUGAAAUCCCUGGGCUCAACCUGGGCAGGUCAGAUAAGACUGUACGACUCGAGUAUAGGAGAGGGUAGUGGAAUUUCCGGUGUAGCGGUGAAAUGCGUAGAGAUCGGAAGGAACACCAGUGGCGAAGGCGGCUACCUGGCCUAAUACUGACACUGAGGCACGAAAGCGUGGGGAGCAAACAGG